This 759-nucleotide ribosomal RNA is filed under the name bacterium enrichment culture clone MC18B6-53. Its description in RNAcentral is "bacterial SSU rRNA". It matches the Rfam family "Bacterial small subunit ribosomal RNA", at positions 28 to 774 of the family's 1533-position model. The record is from RNAcentral.
GAUGAACGCUAGCGGCAGGCCUAAUACAUGCAAGUCGUACGGCAGCACAGUUGCGAGCAAUCGCAACCGGUGGCGAGUGGCGCACGGGUGAGUAACGCGUAUGUAACCUACCCUUCUCCAGGACAUAACUCCGCGAAAGCGGUGCUAAUAUCCUAUAUCAACACUUGAAGACAUCUUCUUGUGUUGAAAGUAGCAAUGCGGUGAAGGAUGGGCAUGCGUCCCAUUAGCUGGUUGGUGAGGUAAUGGCCCACCAAGGCUACGAUGGGUAGGGGUUCUGAGAGGAAAGUCCCCCACACUGGUACUGAGACACGGACCAGACUCCUACGGGAGGCAGCAGUAAGGAAUAUUGGGCAAUGGUCGAAAGACUGACCCAGCCAUGCCGCGUGCAGGAUGAAGGCCCUAUGGGUUGUAAACUGCUUUUAGCCGGGAAUAAUUACCCGUUCUCUAACGGGCUUGAAGGUACCGGCUGAAUAAGCAUCGGCUAACUCCGUGCCAGCAGCCGCGGUAAUACGGAGGAUGCAAGCGUUAUCCGGAUUCACUGGGUUUAAAGGGUGCGCAGGCGGACAUUUAAGUCAGGGGUGAAAUCCUACAGCUUAACUGUAGAACUGCCCUUGAUACUGAAUGCCUAGAGUAAAGUUGAAGUGGGCGGAAUGUGUUGUGUAGCGGUGAAAUGCUUAGAUAUAACACAGAACACCAAUCGCGAAGGCAGCUCACUAAACUUUAACUGACGCUCAUGCACGAAAGCGUGGGGAGCAAACA